RNAcentral lists this ribosomal RNA (438 nucleotides) under uncultured bacterium. RNAcentral describes it as "partial 16S ribosomal RNA". It matches the Rfam family "Bacterial small subunit ribosomal RNA", at positions 339 to 795 of the family's 1533-position model. The record is from RNAcentral.
CUACGGGCGGCUGCAGUGAGGAAUAUUGCACAAUGGGGGGAACCCUGAUGCAGCAACGCCGCGUGGAGGAUGACGCAUUUCGGUGUGUAAACUCCUUUUAUAUGUCAAGAAAAUGACGGUAGCAUAUGAAUAAGCACCGGCUAACUCCGUGCCAGCAGCCGCGGUAAUACGGAGGGGCAAGCGUUACUCGGAAUCACUGGGCGUAAAGGACGCGUAGGCGGGUUGGAAAGUCAGGUGUGAAAUCCUACAGCUUAACUGUAGAACUGCACUUGAAACUUCUAAUCUAGAGUAUGGGAGGGGGAGAUGGAAUUAGUGGUGUAGGGGUAAAAUCCGUAGAUAUCACUAGGAAUACCUAAAGCGAAGGCGAUCUCCUGGAACAUUACUGACGCUAAGGCGUGAAAGCGUGGGGAGCAAACAGGAUUAGAUACCCUUGUAGUC